Gallus gallus (chicken) is the source of this 1476-nucleotide long non-coding RNA. RefSeq lists it as uncharacterized. NCBI's taxonomy places the organism in Eukaryota, Metazoa, Chordata, Aves, Galliformes, Phasianidae. The transcript has 3 exons. The record is from RefSeq and is a predicted model, not a curated record.
CUCCUUGGAAAGAAUCUGUGACUAACAGGAGUCAGGAUUAUAACACUUGUAGACAGUCUGAAGGGACACCUUUGUAACAGUAUGUUUAUUCAGGGUCCUGUGUGAAACAUUGUAUCAGAGACACCAAACCGCUGAAGUCCGCUCAGAAGCCAGUUGCAGAACGUUUAGUUCUUAGGAGGUAGAAAUAGCCAUGGGUCUCAGCGCAGUUAGAAACUAGCACUUUUCUCAGAGUAAAUUCUUCAUCUACAAACACACACAAAGCACUGCCUAGCUCAUAGACUUAAAAAUAAAACAUUACAGAUGUAACCUAAAAGCCCAGUGAAGUUUUUUUUUCUGCUCAUUGUGAUGGAAGAAUCCAUCCUCAAGCAGACACCUGGGUUUUGGUUAGCACUCACAAGCUUGGUGAGACCUCAAGCACUGCCACAUGGAAGCCCACAGAAAUGCGUUGAAUAAUGUUUCAAAGGCCUAGAGUUUUGUUAUGUCACACAGAUAGGUCUUUAUUCUUUAGAAUCCUAGGGGAGUUUCAACAUGGUUAGCAACAGAGUAGGGGAUAGGAACUUGAAUUUAUCUUCUUUAACGUAGAGGAUUUCUGCUUUCUCCACAACUGGAAUUCAACUUCAAAACCUCCAGGAAAAUUUCAUCAAAUUUUCAGGUUUUGUGGGUAAAAAAGGAUGGGUUUUUUUUCUGUUCUGUUGAAAGAAUCUUCAAUACUCGCUUAGCCAGAAUGAAAAUCUUCAUAACACAGGUCUAUAAAAGGACCCCCCUGGAGCUCUAAAUGGAUACCAGCCUGUCACAGGCCUGUUGCUGUGACGACCCAGUCUUUACAGAACAAGAAAAAGAAAUGAUAGUGAUUGGCAGACCUUCCUUGCCCUAGUAUGUAACACAAAAGGAGACAAAAUGAAGAGGAAGUCAGACUCUUAUUAUAGGUUUGAUGCUUCUUAACCUUACAGCACCUUACACCUGAAACAUUAACCCCUGUGGGAAAGAGCUUUAAGCAGAGUGCUUGCAUUCCAGCUUUUCAAGAAGGAGGCUUUUGUUCUUCUCCCACGAAGACAACAAACAGUCUGCCAGGUUAGAAGAGCUGCAGGUGUGGGAGGAGUCCGGUGUUGCACGGGAAACUCAGUACCCAGAGAUUUCAAUAAAAGGCUAUGAGCAGCACAGAUUAGCUUAAGACAGAGCUGUUUGACCUUAUCUCCAACUCACCACCUUCAAUAAACACAUUUGAAGUAAAACAAACUUGCAGUGGAUAAAAGAAAUAUUUGGAAGUACUCGUAGUUCCCCAUACCUCCUAUACAAUUUGUCCCCAGUGCUCUAACUUCCUUCUGGCUAAAUGUUCACCUAUACUUUUCUCCUUUAAAUGUCACCCUGGGGGGAAGAAAGGAACAAUCUUCUUUUCUCUCUUUCCCAGCCACAGAUUUCCCCUUCUUCACACCCUUAGUUCAUUUCUGUCACACCCACCUCCUCCACUGGCCCUUA